Oncorhynchus keta (chum salmon) is the source of this 608-nucleotide long non-coding RNA. RefSeq lists it as uncharacterized. Lineage: Eukaryota; Metazoa; Chordata; Actinopteri; Salmoniformes; Salmonidae. The record is from RefSeq and is a predicted model, not a curated record. The transcript is spliced from 4 exons.
CAACAGAAGGUCGGCUCUGAGAGUCAGGUCUUUCCUACUGAUGAGUCAACAGGGUCAACAGAAGGUCGGCUCUGAGGGUCAGGUCUUUCCUACUGAUGAGUCAACAGGGUCAACAGAAGGUCGGCUCUGAGGGUCAGGCCUUUCCUACUGAUGAGUCAACAGGGUCAACAGAAGGUCGGCUCUGAGGGUCAGGUCUUUCCUACUGAUGAGUCAACAGGGUCAACAGAAGGUUGGCUCUGAGGGUCAGGUCUUUCCUACUGAUGAGUCAACAGGGUCAACAGAAGGUCGGCUCUGAGGGUCAGGUCUUUCCUACUGAUGAGUCAACAGGGUCAAUAGAAGGUAGGCUCUGAGGGUCAGGCCUUUCCUACUGAUGAGUCAACAGGGUCAACAGAAGGUAGGCUCUGAGGGUCAGGCCUUUCCUACUGAUGAGUCAACAGGGUCAACAGAAGGUCGGCUCUGAGGGUCAGGUCUUUCCUACUGAUGAGUCAACAGGGUCAACAGAAGGUCGGCUCUGAGGGUCAGGUCUUUCCUACUGAUGAGUCAACAGGGUCAACAGAAGGUCGGCUCUGAGGGUCAGGUCUUUCCUACUGAUGUGUCAACAGGGUCAA